GGCGGUUCCACCACCCAGGACACGGGCACGGUGGGUUAUAACUCCGUCAGUCGAGAUAACUAACUGGGAAGGUGAUCCAGGUGAUAUAUCAGAAAGAGAGUAGGCAAAACCAGCAACGUUGCUGAUUCUUGGAUCAUUGUAAGGCAAACCACCCCUUUCUAGUAGCAAAACAGUCGCGGCUUCAGACAGAGUCGCGGCUAGUGCACAGCCUGCGGUCCCUCNAAGAGUGUAGGCAAAACCAGCAACGUUGCUGAUUCUUGGAUCAUUGUAAGGCAAACCACCCCUUUCUAGUAGCAAAACAGUCGCGGCUUCAGACAGAGUCGCGGCUAGUGCACAGCCUGCGGUCCCUCCUCCGACGAUAAUGUAGUCGUAAUACGCCACUGGGGGAGCCGAUACCGAAUUCUUGGCAAAUGAAGCGAAUGGAGCUGGUAUGAUCAGUAUACACAAUUAGUUAUAACCAUAUCUUAUUGCAGAAAAUAAUUCCCAUCUUUGUCAAGUAUACUUCACAUUUUUACCAUUAAUCAUUGUUAUAAGGGAUAAUUAAUUUAUACGUCCUUGAACUUUGGCCCAUUUUUGAUUCGCGUCCUUGAACUAAGUUUGUCAAUUUAUGCAUCCUCAAACUUUGUAAAUUUCCAAUUCAGGUCCCUCCGUCAGUUUUUGACUAACAGAAGUUAGCAAUUAGGGUUAUGAAUUUGGGGGUUUUCGACUCGUUAAUGGAUUGUUGAAAUUGAUGGUAUGGGAAGUUUCGGGAGGUCAAACCGAAGAGAUUCAUGUAGGUUUCAAUGGCGGAGGAUGGCCGGAAUCAAUGGCCAUUUUCCGGCCGGCGGAGACAUUGCCACCAUUCCGGCAAUCCUCCAUCAUUGAAACCUACAUUAAUCUGUUCGGUUUGACCUCCCGAAACUUCCCAUACCAUCAAUUUCAUCAAUCCAUGAACGAAUCGAAAACCCUCAAAUUGAAAACCCUAAUUGACUAACUUCCGUUAGUCAAAAACUGACGGAAGGACCUGAAUUGGAAAUUUACAAAGUUUGAGGAUGCGUAAAUUGACAAACUUAGUUGAAGGACGCGAAUCAAAAAUGGGCCAAAGUUCAAGGACGUAUAAAUUAAUUAUCCCUUGUUAUAAAUUCAUUGAAUAUAAUAAUUUAUAUGAUUACCUGGUUCUGAAUAACAGGGAGAGGGAAGGAAGAAGAUAGUUGCAGCUAUAGCUGCAGGAACGAAUCGCCAACAGAUUAAAAUCAUAACUUGAAACACACCUAGAUUCAUGUAAAUAUCGUUUGAAUAAAACUAAAUUAAAUUAAACCAAAAAACAUUAUAGGAAAUUACUUGUGGUUGACUUGUAAGAAUCUCUAACUAUUGAUAGAUUCAUUUCACUCAAUGGACGUCCAAAGAAGUACCUCACAGGUAACCCGCAAGGCCAGGCUUAUUGAUUUGUGGAUGCAUUUUGUUCUUCAAAAUAUACACUCCAAUCAUUAUUUUCAUGGUUUCAAUAUUUUAAGACGUCAAGUGGUUGAACCUUUUUUUUUUCCCUUCUGAUAUAUAUGACAUA
RNAcentral lists this long non-coding RNA (1543 nucleotides) under Daucus carota (carrot). Its description in RNAcentral is "long non-coding RNA (DCAR_LNC003737)". Lineage: Eukaryota; Viridiplantae; Streptophyta; Magnoliopsida; Apiales; Apiaceae. The record is from RNAcentral.